Molecule: antisense RNA, 75 nt
Filed under: Streptomyces scabiei
Lineage: Bacteria; Bacillati; Actinomycetota; Actinomycetes; Kitasatosporales; Streptomycetaceae
Description: Aspks sRNA
Rfam family: ASpks TB sRNA
Source: RNAcentral
CUUCACCGACCCCAGCCACAACGGCCCAUCCCCGGCCCGCUCCUGCCCGUAGGUCGCCAGCAGCGCCUGCGCCUC